Molecule: ribosomal RNA, 253 nt
Filed under: uncultured bacterium
Lineage: Bacteria
Description: partial 16S ribosomal RNA
Rfam family: Bacterial small subunit ribosomal RNA
Source: RNAcentral
UACGGAGGGUGCAAGCGUUAUCCGGAUUUACUGGGUUUAAAGGGUGUGUAGGCGGGCUUUUAAGUCAGUGGUGAAAUCUCCGGGCUCAACCCGGAAACUGCCAUUGAUACUAUUAGUCUUGAAUUUUGUUGAGGUAGGCGGAAUAAGUCAUGUAGCGGUGAAAUGCAUAGAUAUGACUUAGAACACCAAUUGCGAAGGCAGCUUACUAAGCAAAUAUUGACGCUGAGGCACGAAAGCGUGGGGAUCAAACAGG